This 72-nucleotide transfer RNA is filed under the name Clostridiaceae bacterium OM08-6BH. It matches the Rfam family "tRNA". From Rfam's summary of the family: Transfer RNA (tRNA) molecules are approximately 80 nucleotides in length. The record is from Rfam by way of RNAcentral. Lineage: Bacteria; Bacillati; Bacillota; Clostridia; Eubacteriales; Clostridiaceae.
GGAGCCAUAAUUCAACGGUAGAAUAACCGUCUCAUAAGCGGUCAGUUCCGGGUUCGAAUCCCGGUGGCUCCA